UUAUGGCCACAUCAUGUUGAAACACCAGUUCCCGUACGAUCAAACAAGUUAAGCAAUGUUGAGCCUGGUCAGUAUCUAAAUGGAUGACCGCUCAGGAAAUAUCGGUGCUGUAAG
Acanthosepion pharaonis is the source of this 114-nucleotide non-coding RNA. Lineage: Eukaryota; Metazoa; Mollusca; Cephalopoda; Sepiida; Sepiidae. The record is from the annotation of a GenBank genome assembly.